Molecule: ribosomal RNA, 1870 nt
Filed under: Triticum aestivum (bread wheat)
Lineage: Eukaryota; Viridiplantae; Streptophyta; Magnoliopsida; Poales; Poaceae
Description: partial small subunit ribosomal RNA
Source: RNAcentral
CGCGAAUACACAAAUCUUGCGUAUCAUUGCAUUCAUAGAAGGAAUAGAAUGAGUACAAAAGGGGGUACACCACAUGACAUGAACGCAGGCAGGCGUGAACAUGGUACCCGAAGCAGGGAGACAAGGGAUGCUCAGCCCGAACAGGGGAUACAACCUAGCUAGACCUACCAAGCCUGAACCAAGAGUGGCAAUGCCGAACCAGCAAGAAUACCAACAUCGCGAAAGCCAAAUCGGGGUCACCACGAGCGAGUAAGAUAGCGCCUUCAAGAAGGAAGAACGACGUCGAGACGCCAUCGCCAUCCGGUCCGGAGGAACCAGACCUAGGGUUUCACCUGAGCUUGAGGACGGGGCUCGGCCGAGGGCCUUGACAGCGCCUCCAAGUAGAAAAACGACAUCCGCAAACGCCGCCGCUGCUAGCACCGGCAAGCCGGGCAGGGAUUUCGCCCCGGCCUGAGGCAGAGCAAUCCCAUAGCCACCGCAUCUGGAGUCGAAGAUGAGGAAGCCAGCGCUAGUCGGAGCCACCAUAUCAAAGGGGGUUGGCGGGGCUGCACUUGCCGUCGAAGGGUGGCACCGCCUCCGAACCCACGAGCAUUGGAUUUGGCAAAAGGGGAGCUUCGAGAAAUACAGGGCAGGCGGUGGAGCGAACCACAGGGGGUGGGCUGACGGCGCUCAGCAAUGCCGACAGACUAGAACUGGAGGGACGUAGAUCCUAGUUGUCGUGGCCAAACCCGUCGAGACGUCAGUAAGCCAAGCGAGCUGGAAGAGACGCAGCUGCUUGGUCACCGAGACCGGAGCCGCCCGGCAGAGGACACCGACGUCCACGGGCACUGGGGAGAUGCGGGCCCGAGGUCGCCGGGCCGGAGCAGCGCCAGCAAGUACCCGCCUUGAGGAGCACCAUGACUGCACAAACAUUGUAGCCUCAUCGCCUCCACGCGUUAGCCAUCACCGUGGCUCGGGAGGGGAGGAAGGGCCGCCGGAGACGAGGGGGGCCUGCCUGCGCGGAGGCAGGCCGCGAACACGCCCGCGUCCGGCUGCAGUUCUCGCGCCCAGCCCGCGGCCAACACCAGCACCAGAAGCGCUGGGCCGCACCGCAAAAGGGGGGAUGGGCAGACCGCAGGGCAGCGCGCCGAGGCCGUGGCCAGGCCCGCCGGGCCAGACGCCGGACCGGCAGGAACAAGCAGCAGCUAGGAGGGGGAGGCGCCCGCGAUGCGCCAUAGGUACGGGGACGCGGGGCAGGGGGAAGCGCAUGGGGACGGGGCCGCCAUGCCGCCACCGUCCCAGGGCUCGGCGCGGCCUCGCCGGCUGGCCCUCUGGCGGCGGCGCAGCGGAGGUAGGUGGAGGGGGCGGGGCUUCCCGGCCGCGGCUGGUGGAUCUGGGCGGAGGGCGGGGGGAUGCGCGAGGCACGGGGGAGGGGGCGGGAUCCGCCCCGCCGCCGCCAUCCCGGGGCACGGCUUGGCUUCGCCGGCCGGCCCUCCGGCGGCGGCGCGGCGAGAGAGGGCGGAGGGAGGAGCUUCUUGGCGGCGGCUGGGGUUUCCCCCGUGUCGCCACAGGAGGGCGACGCGGGGGUGGGUACUCUUUUUUUUCCUAGCUUCGCUCCUAGUUGAUUGAACCAGCCAUGAUUUGCAGUGUAACUCUGUUCGUGUUGAGUCUGUAUUUUACUUAUGUAUCUGUAGUGUAAUUAUGUGCAGAGUUUCAGUGUAAUAUAGGUCAGAGUUACUGUGUAAUUUGCCCCUGAGUUGCAGUGUAAUUCCCCCCAAAGUUACUGUGUAAUUCUCAUGCUUAUUAUAUGUAAUUUACCCUAAAGUUUUACACUGUGUAAUUACCCCCAGAGUUACUGUGUAAUUAUCCCAGAGUUUCAGUGUAAUAUACC